AUUUCAGGGGGAAGCUAUGAAGCUUAGGGCACAAAAAUGGUUGCUAAUCCUAAGCUGAGCUAAUGGCAAGACCGGCCUCCGUUAU
This 85-nucleotide non-coding RNA is filed under the name unclassified sequences. RNAcentral describes it as "c-di-GMP sequence". It matches the Rfam family "c-di-GMP-II-GAG riboswitch aptamer". The record is from Rfam by way of RNAcentral.